UUCAAAGAAUCUUAACGAAGAUAAACUUGAUCUAUAAUAGGAUCAUAAGCAGAUAAGAAGAAAGUAAGAAACAUGAAAGUGGGCUGCACAAGUUUUGCUAGAAGACAACGCAAAGAAUAAACAUAAAACCAGUUGGAGGAGAUAUACUGAAAAGUUCCAGCUGUAGAUUUAAAAUUUCAACUUCCUUUUUAACAAGUAUACAAAUACUGAUGGACUAAUAUAAACCAUUUAUAUGAAUGAGUUAUGAUACAAUCGGACGUCAAGACUAGAUCAAGAAAUGAACUAUCAAGUACAGCCAUAGGAAGCUUCUUUUGAGAUCAUCAAGCACUACAAUGAAACAAGAUUUGACAUGGAACAGAUUUGCACUAAAACACUUUCACGGAUAUAUACCAAAAUAUAUGGAGGCAUAAGAAAAGAUUUUGAGGAAAGAGGACGUUGGCUUUUGUACAUACUUCAAAGAACUUCAACAUGGAUAUUCAAAGGCUAAUAGUUUAUAUCAACACUAACACAUCCAUUACAAGGACACUUGAACCAUGAAUAAGCAGCUAUCAACAUACUCGUAUGAUCAUAUCAGAAAGAAUUAAACCGAAUGAGACAUCACAACAAUGAAAACUCAAUACUUCAGAUUGACAAACCAACUGCUUGUCAAUUUACAAGAAAGAAUGCAUAAGAAACAUUUCCAACAAAUACAUAUCAAACUAGAAUCAAAGCUAUAAAGAAAAGUUUGUUUUCCCUACCUCAAAUCAAGCAACUAGCAGCCAAAAUCUCCAAGCACACAAGCAUCUAUGCCCAUAGAUGAUAGCAAUCCAAUUUUUGAAAGCAAACACCCAGCUGGUACCCAAGCAAUUCAAGUUCCCUAAUUUGAAAUUCAUGGCACAAAUCAAUCAUCCACUUUAUUGGGUAAUAGCUGAAACAAGAAUUAGUUUGAGAAAGAGGACAAUGAAACUUACAGAAGCUAACAGCAAAUUGAAAAGACAAUUUCAUAUUCUUUGACAGUAGGAUUCAUGGCGAUUCUCUCCUCUUUCUUGUGAGCUAGUGAAUUGGGUGUGGUUGGUUUAGAGAAGAGAACGAUGAUCAUUAGAGAACAAAGACAGAACUGAACUGAAGAGUUUAGAGCAAAACAGAAGGAAGACAGAGAAGAAAAGAAAGGAAAAGAGCAACGACGUGUAUGGUGGAGAAAGCAAUCGCACAGGAGAUGGGAGGAUCAAUGGAAGAGAACCAACAAACGUGUUCCCUUCUAGAUGGGGACUAGAUGAUUCCAUAACCAAUUACACUUAUGAGAGAAAAUAAAAUAAAGUAAAUAAAAUAAACAAUUCUAGGACAUAAAAAUCUGAUAGCAAACUUUUACUAGUGGUCAACAAUAGAGUCAAAACCGAAAUCCAAGCCAGGAGAGAGGAAACAUGCAAAAUCAGUCCAAGUAAGAAAAACAAUUUUUUUAAGAAAAUUUAAUUUAAGACUAGGUUAUUACAAGCACUCUCCCAGAUGUAGAAAAAAAAAAUAUUAUAGAAAAGAAACUUAAAACUAACUUAGGCUAUUUUCGCCUUCUGGGGACUAUCCAACAUGUCCUCAACAUAUAAAACCUGAAACCCUAAAUCCAAUCCCACCCCCUCCCACAUUGCUCUUGUAAUGCUUUCCUUUCAAAGAGAGCUAGAGUGAGAAAAGCGUUUAACCUGGGAAAAAGCCAGUCUUUUAAUUCUUCCCCAACAAUUGUUCUCUUCAGAAUGGCAACACAGGUCCCUAGAGAACGGCCAUACCCCCUACACCUAUUUAAACAAACUGAAACACAAAACUUAAUCCAACACCACCAUCCCUGCACCUACUUAAACACAUAUGCAGAAACUCAAAACCUAAACCAUCAUCAACAUAAUUUAAGAGCAACUCUAUUACCACUAAUACAACUCCCCAAAGACCAACUUCUCCACCUCUCUUCUUAUCUGGUGUUUGAUAAUGGAGAAUUUCUGCCCACCUUUCACUUCAACAACUAACACCAGUUCUUCAUCUCCAUUUUCAACUAUGGAAAGUUCACCAUCUCAGUUGUCUCAUAAUCCAGUGCUUUCCUACCUACCACCAAACCCUCAUUAAUUGGCAGUAACCAUGUCCUCCUCCCAUCUGUCCCUCUCCAGUCCCAAGUUCGACUGCGAUGGACUCGAGGAUGGUACGCCAAAGAAGAAGCGACAUUCUGAGAACAAAAAAAGCUACUUGUGCAGAGCUUGUUGUUCUUCUUCUUCAAGGUUGGCUGUAGAGAGAGAUCCAUCUACUGCUGGUUCUGAAACUCAGAAUGAACAACACCUCUACCCAUUCUGCAUGCCGGAUAACAAGGUCAGUACGUUCUCGAUAUUAUGCAUGAAAGGUUAUAUUUUCUUUAUGUUUUCAAGUUUGCCUAUCUAACUCAUAUAUCUCUGUUACACAAAAACUGAGACUGUUGUUCAAAAAAGAGCUGAAGAAUAGUGACGUUGGAUCUUUAGGCAGGAUUGUCCUUCUAAAGGUGAUGAUUGAGCUCGUUUCGUGAUUCUGAUUUCUUGAGCUUUGACAAAAAGCAUUUGCUAUUUAUUAAGCGUUUACUCUUCAUGAAAUCACUAAUGUGAUGUUCAUCUCUUGAUUACUUGUUACCUCAUUCAUAGAAAGAGGCUGAAAAAUACCUUCCGAGCCUCUUCGAUAAAGAAGGCAUCAAGUUGAGGAUCAGGGAUGCCCUUUCAACCCAAGAGUGGGGUUUGAAAUACAAGUAAGUUUAUGAAAUCAGAAAUCGUCAAAUGAACGUUAUCUAUGGCAAACAGUUUUAAUGAACUAAUUGUUUAUGCUUAUUGAUUUUGACACAGGUACUGGACAAAUAACAAAAGCCGAAUGUAUGUGCUCGAAAACAUAGGUACAAAAAUUUCCAAUUGAUUGCGACAAACAUGGUAUAUGUAUUAAUUCAUUUGUUCACUAACUGUAUUUCAAUGUAACAGGAGACUUUGUUCAGGAAAGUGGAGUGGAGGUGGGAGAUAGCAUUCAUCUUUAUGAAGAUGAAUGCAAGAAUCUUGUGAGUUCUACUCUCUUUUGUUUCUUCUUUGGAUACAGAUGAGAAUUUUGAUUUUUGAAAAUUGAAUAGAGAGAGAUGGAUAGGUUUGUUGAGGAUUGCAUGCAUGGUGACAAAGUUCCACUCCACCCUUUUCAAUUAUGCUGACUGUUUUCUUUGGAUUAUAGCAAGCUAGGCGAAAUUAAUUAGAGUAAAUGAUGUAUUGGUUAACAUUGAUACACAGCCAGGAGUCACGUUCCUCUUAUAGCCUCUUGAGAAUUGGAACUAAUGAACUAGCUACAUGUUCAGAUAUAACCAUAGCAUACAUCAAGCCGUGAGUCAUCCGAUCGUUUUGAAUUUUGAAUUACUAAACAAUCAGACGGCUCACGGCUUAAUGUAUGUCAUACAAAUGUGUAUAGUAGCCGAACCCUAUUUAGACAUGAUUUAUGUGUAGAUUUCAGUUUAAGUGUGCCACUCUUUCAUAAAACUAAUAAGGGUAUGUACAUUUGCAACGUGAGUGUGCGUCAGUAAUUUGAUUUAGAAUCAUUAAUUAUCAAAUUUGAAUGCAUCUACAAUUAAAAGUCACUCAAAUUUGCAUAGACAAACUAGUUUAAACACAUCAAUAGAACUAUCUCUUUACGCCUAUAAUUGGAUUAUUUAUGUUUACUUUGCAUAUUUUUUUAUGUAUAGAUUGUACAUAAACUAUUUAAUCUAUAUGUUUUUACUAACUAAGCUUAUUUCUUGUCAUGCAAGGAACCAAUACGUCUCCAUCCACCGGCACAGAGCAAGGCCAGUACAUGUAGUUGAGCCCUCCUCAACCUCAUAUCAUCAACAAAACUAUACUGAUACCAACACCAACACCAACACCACCAUCGAUAACUCCAACACCAAAAUCUCUGCCAACGCAACAAGCAUAUACACUCCAUACGCCUACAACGAAAAUCGAACUGAUAAAGACGAGACUUCUUCAACAAUAGUAUUACAACAACAACUAAAACGCGAGGAACAACUAGAAGAAACAAACAACACGGUGACAUUGUUUACGGAUCCCGCUCCUUCAUAUAUAAAAAGUGAAGAAGUCAACAACUCCAACAAAUACGUCACUAGACAACAACAAACCUCUACUCAUCAAUUAGCCAUGGCUGAGAUAUUUGGGUCCUCAUCAUCAUCCUCACCGAGUACAGUGAAGAUGUCUGAUGAUAACUUAGGCGACUGCUAUGAAGGACUCGGGACGCUCUCGGAAGUCCAUCGUUUUGAGUUUGAUUUUGACGACAUAAUGAGAGACGACAAGACGUUAUAGUGGUGUACAAUGUACAAUAAUCUAAUGAGAUGUGUAUCUAUUCAUAAGGCUAUAUAUGUUAGCAAGAUUCUUUCUACUUAAGAAAUCUCGACAUAAUCUUCUAGAAUAUUGCCUUGUAUAUAUUCUGUAUUCAAAUCUUAGAUUAUGUAAUCUUGUCUAGUUAGAUAUCCUACUUACAAGGCUUAUUGUACUCUAUAUAUACUAGCAUUGUAAUGAAAAUACAAUUUCUACACUAUAUAUAUAUAUAUUCGGAUUCUUAUAUCUCUAUUGUUCUUCAUGCUUUUAGUUUCAAUUUGCCAAGAAGGAUUGGGAAUUGGGAUAAAGAAGGGAAAAUUCUGCUGUGCCGGAGGGCAUAGCAUGCUUGCUGGAAAACACAGGCAAAACCAUCCCCUGCUGGAGCCCCUACUAGACCCCCCCUGCUGAACCUCCCCCUCCUUAGUGAUAGGCAUGCUAUACCGUUCGGUAUAGCAGCCAAACCCAGAAAGAAGUAGAGGGACUGAGCCUAGGAAGGCUGGUUGGCCCACCUUUAUGAUUUUAAUAUAUUUAAGUUAUUAAAACGCUUCCUUGAACCUUAGCUACCCUAGGGUUUAUCCAACCUAUUUUUCCUUCUUCCGCAUCAUCAUCAUGGCAUCAAUUACGAUCUUGUUCUCACGGUUCCUAAAAUACUUAGCAAGGGUGGUAUCUCGCAUGCUAGGAAGAAAAUCAAGAACUAGUCGAAAGGCAAAACAAACAAGGAAGAGAAGAUGUUGAAUUGCAGAGUUGCCGGAAUUCAUUCAGGAAUCCAUAGUGAGAGAUGAAGAGAUCCGAUUUCUCUAAAGUGAGGAGAGUGUGAAUUUAGUUAAAGUUCAUAAAAUCAGGACUCUCCAUCCAAUCUAAUGGUUCCAGCAACUGACACAUCACUUUUCUACCAUUUUUUUUUAGUUUUCAUCUAAACCAUGGUUAACUUACUUUUAAGUUAAAAAAAAGAAUUAAAUUCAGUUUACUCCCAUGAAGUUUGGGAGUAACUUCAUGUUAAUCCCUAUACUUUCAAUUUCAUCAGUUUACCUCUCAAACUUUUGAAUUUUCCUCAAGCGUGACCAAAUGUCCUAUAUUCUGUCCAAAUCGGACGUUAACUACUGAUAAUUUUAACCAUAACUGUGAGGCCAGUAUCUAGAAUUUGGGCAAAUUGGACCUUAUAUGUCCAAAUUGAACCUUAACUGCUGAUAAUUAAAGGUCAAUUCAAACGGAAUAUGAGAAUUUGGGCACGGCAGACAGAAAUUGAAGAGUUCAAGGGGUAAACUGAUGAAAAUAAAAGUGUAGGGACUAACAUGAAGUCACCCCCAAACCAUAAGGGGGUAAACUGAAUUUAAUUCUAAAAAAAAAAACUAAAAAAACUAAAGGAUUUCCGGUUGUGGUUUAAGUUCCUUCUUUCUUUCUGCUUUCUUUGCUGCUACUUUCUCUUUUUGCUUCCAUGGCUGCAGACUAACCAUGGAAUUAAUGACUUCUUGCAAUUGUUUUUAAUAAUUUAUUCAACAAGAAGCGAUUCAUUACUGGAUGUAUGUAUUCUAUAUACGUACAAAUUGGAUGUAUGUAUCUAUGUAACAUAAGAUUAGGGCUUUGACAAGAAUUACAUUACUAGAGAUCUACGUGAAGAUACCCAGAAUAUAGGAAUCAAAUAAGAAACCCAUGAUUUUUUCUUUUUACCCGAUCGAUAGAGGAAUUACUAUCCCAAUUAAUUUAGUAUUUCAUCUGAAUAAAUUUUAAGAACUCAGCUCCAUGAUUAGAUUUUUUGAACUUGGGUACAUAUAUAGCAGAUUAUGCUGAAGACAGGUUCAUUGACAUCGAUGAUACAUGAUCAAUCUGAUAAACAAUUAACUAAAUUGGUGAAUCGUUAAUUUGCACAGUGCAAAAAGUUAUUAAUUCCAUGGUUAAGCAAAGCAAAGUGUAAAAGGAAGCAGAAAGAAUAUACUUGAUGUAGAGGAGACAUGGCAAAGAUUAAUUUUUUUUUUUUUUUUUACUAUAAAAUAAGUUAACCAUGGGUUAGAUGAAAACAAAAAAAAAUGGUAGAAAAGUGAUGUGUCAGUUGCUGGGACCAUUAGAUUAGAUAGAGAGUCCUGAUUUUAUGAACUUUAACUAAAUAAUUCACACUCUCCUCACUUUAGAGGAGCCGGAUCCGAGAUGAAGAUGGCAACGUCGUCCUUGAUCGAUGGAUCCGUUUCGCAAUGACAAAGGGAGUUGAAGAACUCAAUCUUCAUGGAGGUCGUAAGUAUGUUUUCCCUCACCAGUUACUUUCUGAACAAGUAAACGCAGGCUCAAGAGUUAACCUUAAAUAUUUGACAAUAUUUUGUGCCGAGGGUAUAAUACGACCUCCUCCUGAUUUUAGCGGAUUCAGUCAGCUAGUUACUCUUUAUCUGUCUCGUGUUAUCAUUCAUCCAACUUUUACGUCAAAUCUCUUCUCUAUCUUUGCGUCCCUUGAAAGUUUGACCUUACAUAUACAUAGUGUUAAACGGGAUCUUGAUCAUGAUGGUACUGGAACGGAUGAUCUGAAUAUUGUUGCCGGUGAUCGUCUAACUGAACUGAAGGUCAGAUAUUGGGAAGGCAAAAUAAAUAUUUCUGCACGAAAUCUUGCCUCCUUGGAAUACAUUGGAGAUCAUUGGAGCUCUCUUUCCAUCAAAAGUACUCCACGUUUGGCAAGAAUUUAUCUAUUAGACAUAGUUCACUGACGUCCAUCAAUGUUACCUCACGUUCUAAAGCAAUUUGCAAAGUGUUCUAAGCUCAAGUCUCUUUGUAUGCGGAUGGACCCGGAAACCCUAAUCAAUUUCAGCAUGCCAGCUUUUGGAAAUUUAAGGAAAUUGGAGGUGGAUAUCUGCAGCCGAGAUGCUAGUGGAUGGGACCGUAGUCGAUACAAUAACGAUGACAUUCUUCUUGGCUUUCUGGGUUUUCUCAAGGCUGCACCCCUUUUGGAGGAGCUUGUAACAGCUUUAUUAAUUGAUGACCUCAAGUUUACUGAAACUGAUGAACGAGGGAUAAGGAACGUUUCUGGAUUCACACAUGAUAAUUUGAAAUUCGUUAAGAUGAAGAAUUUCCAGUCAUUGGUCCGAGAUAGAGUUUGCUGUUUGUAUUCUCAAGUACGCUAGAAAGCUCAAGGUAAUGCAAAUUGGGCCUUUUGCAGAAAGAUAUUCUGGUGAUCAGGGGAAGGUCUACUACUUUAGGGAGAAGGUGAAGUAUCCAGGAUGCAUAUUAUCAAAGAAUGCAAACUGCAAACAGAUGCUGUUUGAUCUACUACAUUUUACGUUCAAAGAAAUCAAGGAAGUAAAGACGGAUGCUCAAAUUAUAUUAACUAACCUUCCUACACGUGAGAAAGUGCGGCCAAAUGAUUUCUCAAACUCCUUUCUCCUUCUAGCUCAUCCUGAAUUGACCGACUGAAAUCACUGAAUGCAUGUUGUUCUUCAAGACUCCAGUUAUGAUUGACUACUUAUUUUUGUGGAUGUUAACUGAACCACAUAAUAAUCUUUUUUAUCUUUCAAUCCAAAGCCACCCAAACUACGUACAGCUAGCACCCAACAACCCCAAAGGACUCUGGCCAUUUUCCCUUUACCGUAAGCUGACAGAUGUUUCUACUAGUUUACUUGUAACUUUCAGAUUUUAGGGAGAGAAAUAUCUGAGGUAUAUCAUCUUGUUCCAUCAUCUUGCUCAAGAAAAUAUCUGAGGUACGUCAUCCGUUAUGCAAAUACUACAGUACUGCCUGUAUACUUGUAUAUAUAAUACUUUUUUUUUGUAUACUUGUAAAGUAUUGAUAGAGGAAGCUGCAGUGAAGUUUCCCAUCUAGGCCAAACUGGUGAUGUGGUUAAUGUGAUACCACAUAUCUAGUUUAUUUUACAGAUCGAGAAAAGAAUAUACAUGAUUUCUUUGAAACUAGAUUUUUAAUGGAUAUUUUGUUGGAAUUGGUGGCUCAGAGGAUUUACUAUUAGGAUGACAUUACAGGUAUACUAGUAUGUUCUUCAGCUGCAUAUACUCAUUGACAACAUUACACAAUUGCAGAGCAGAGAUCUUAUUCCAUUGAAGACAUGACAGUAGUACAUGCACUAAGAUUAAGUUGCAGAGGAUCUCAUCAACAUGGUAGAAUCUGAGGUAAGCAGGUGCCCUACGCACAGUGCAAUAUCACAUAAUUGAAAAAGAUUGUAAUUCUCAUUUGUCAAUGGAGACGGUAACACUUCACCUUCCUUCUCCUUAAAGCCUUCCUCACAUGUAUCUGAUGCUUGCAUAACUGCACUCAGCCAGAUAUUGGCGUUGUCAUAUUGCUCACCUAGAAAUGCUCCAACAGCAUCGACCAAGGUUCUGAUGCCGUCCGAAUAGAGCUGCAAGCAGUCCUUCAAGCAAACCACAGCAAAAGGAUCUAGACUUUCGUUGCUCGUCAACAAAUUCUGUAUGAUCAGAAGCGUAUUGCUUGCAUUGUUCAGUGCCAGCUCCAUUGCUAUCAAUGCUAGUCCUUGGAGAUUAGCCACAUGGCUCACCGGAACUGUUUGGAGAGAGGUUGUGCAUAGAUCGUAGCUAAAGACGUGUGAUUCAUCGGCGCAUUUUCUGCAGGUAUGAUUGAUUAUAUCGGCAGAUAUUGCAGUAACUGUUGAGAAAUUUUCAGUAGGAAUUACAAGGAAAAAGAAGCAGCAGCAUAGAGAGAUUGAAAAUAAAGAAAUAUGGUACAUUGUUUCCUUUGGUUUCUUGCUCAUGUAGUGGAAUAUAUGUAGUUCUAAUGUGAUUUUCAUGAGCAGUGAAAACUUUAGAGGAAGCUUCCUCGACUGUUAGUACUACUCCUUUUAAAGCAACAAGGGCCCAAAACAAAACAGAAAACAGUCUAUUCUGCAAAGACACGAAUUUACACGAUGAUUCGGUGUAUGAUGUAGAGUUUGUUUAGUCAUUGUCUAUAUUAAUCAUUUGUGCUCAUUCAAAUGUUUAACAUAUGCUCCAGAAGGCUGGCAAGCUAGUAGGAGCACGUGUCCUACAUAACUACAUCAACCUUGGGAGGGGUUAGCUCGAGACGUGUUUUGGGUGAAACCUCAAAAACAAAACUGUGAGGACCAGUAGGCUCAAAAUAAACAAUACCUUAGUUGUAAGGACCGGGUUGUUCCAUAUGGGAUCAAAACCUGUCCCCGAUUGAAAGUGUGCCGACGAGAACAUCGAGUCCUUAAGGGGGGGUGGAUUGUGGGCAGCUGCAGAAGGCAUUGGCAAGCUUGUAGGAGCACGUGUCCCACAUCACCCCGGGGGGAGGGGGGGAAACAAAUUGAUGUGCUUAUAUUUGCAAAGUCAGCUCUUUACAUUGAGACGUUUUUUGUGGUGAAACCUUAAAAACAAAAUCGUGAGAUCCAGUGGGUCCGAAACAGACAAUAUCUCAACUGGUGAGGACUGAUUGUUACAACUGACAUACCAGAAAGAUAAACUUGUUCCUAAACAAAAGCAUAACAACAUAUGACACAAUUUUCCUAAUACCGCAUAGAAUUAAAAUCCAGUGUCACAAUGUUUUAUCAUACAUUCUUACCACUUCACACGGGUCGCCUCUCUCAAACUUGAACCCUAGGCUACUUCUGACCUUCAAUUGUUGCUAAUAUGGCAAUGGCGGACUCUAGCGUUGAUCUUGAUCACUCUGAUGUUGUUGUUGCUACUAGAUGGGUGUUGAAUUUUUAGCCUGGUCCUCAAGAUGGCUUGGUCGAAGGCUGAACAGUGAGGCUUGGUUUUGUUUUCGAUUCAUCAAUGUGACUAACUUUCGUAUACACGGGUGAGGUGACGCGAGCAUCAUCACUGGUGGUUGUUUGGAUGCAAGACCCUUACCCAGAAUUUGAUUCGGGUAUAACCUUCAUUUUCAGAGACGUCACUUGACCUCUUGGUGGUUGGAUCGUGGGCGGCGGGGGUGAUUCUGUGAAUAGCACCAUUAACAAUAAAACUUCAAUCACUCGAUCAUAGUUCUCAUUUUUGUUUUUUGUUUUAUUUGUUUUAGAAACUCAUGCAAUUAUAGUUCUCUAGAGCUUUGGUGACAACCUAAAACCUCCUCUACACUCACCCAAUCGCCGAUCCUAAACCCCCCAAAAAGUCGAAAACCCCUAAAAGCCAUGGCCUCUUCCGCCGCUAGGUCUAUGUGCCACUCUGUCGCCGCCAGGACCACCUAGGCCUGGCAAUGGGCCGGGUUCAUGCGAUCACAAGCAAGUUCUUAACGGGUUAAACCCAUUAAAAAUCCGUUAGCUAACAGAUCAAACCGGGCUUAGUCUGACGGGUUUGCAGGUUUCCGUUGGAACCCGCUAAGCCCGUGAUUUUUUUUUUUUACUAAACCCCUUGAACCUGUGAAGAUUUUUUUUAAUUUUUUAAAAAUGAGAUUAAAAAUAAUAAUUACACCUCAAAGUUAUAGUCAAAUUGCUCACACCCUGCAACACCAUAGCAUUAUAUCAGUCAAAUUCACCUCCAUAAACCAUUAACAUCAACUCUCUCCAACAUUUUCUUCACCCAAAGAUAAACCCUGAGACUCAUCAUGCAAACUCAUCUGCAAAAACAAAUAUAUAGACCAACAAAAUAAGCAAAUAAAGACAAAAUUGGUACCUCUUUUCUGCUUAUUAGAACUGGAUAUGCAUGUAUACACAGUAGAAUUGAAAACAAAUAAAACAGCAAGCAAUCACAAGUAACUACAUUGAUGAUUCUUCUAGUUAUCAACAACCAAAAUAACCAAACAACAAAAAUGGGACUAGUAAAAUUGAGAAUCAUAUCCUGAUGGAAACCAACACAAGAAUUCCAGUUUCUAAUCUCGAUUUGAUAUGAAUCUCGAGUAAGCAGUCGCUCUCCUAGUGGGCCUAGGGGUGUGUUGGGCUGCGUCAAUUAGCUGUCUUAAUUAAUAGGUUAAUUAGUUGAUUAGGGUUUUGUAGUGAACCGUGGGAUACGUGACAAGUGUCGAGAUCAUAUCACUCUUCAUGUACCUAUUUAAGCUGGCUAGGGUUUCUUGGCAGCUCCAUUGAAUGAAAUCUGCAUUUUCUUUACAUCUUUUAGCUUAGUUUCCUUAGCUGGCCGAGUUGAUCCAUUUGUAAGGGGUGACACCCUUAUCAGUGGUAUCAGAGCCCUCGAUCUGAGGGCCAUGUCGAAAAACAAAGCCACCGAUGGCGCAAAGAUCGUCGAGAUAUCACCAGAUGAAUACGACUUGUAGACUCUUCGAGCUGAAACCGCUGCACAAAUCUUGGCGUUGAGUGACUCGUUGGUGACGCACCGCGAGGAUGUGGCUACGCUGCGCGCUGAUAUGACAGCCCAGUUCCGAGCUCUGAUGGACAAGUUGGAGCCAGCCGAGGGCCAGUCGCUGCGCUUUGGCUGUUUUGGUGCUCCGCCUCCGUCAUCAGACUUGCCGAUUCUGAGAGCUCGAGGGACCACGCCAUCAAGCACGGAUGGUAUGUCUCUAUCAGUGAUGGGAGGAAAUUCAGCUACGAGUGUAUCCAAGACCAAUCGGCAACCAGAUCUGAGAGAGGACCAAGUCAUACUGGGUUUUGCACAUGAGAACGGAGUGGUGCCAGCAAGCGUGCCUCAGCCGUCCCUUUCAGUGGCAGCUGGGGGUCUACUGGGUCUCAACACUCAUGAGCAAGGUGAGACCAGUCGUUUUGGAGGCCUUGCGAGUGGUAAGCAGCAGACGGUCCAGUAUUUUCAGCAUACUGAUGGAGGAAACCAUGUGAGCCACUCAGGAGCUUACCCCUACCAGCACCAUCCUCCACCAGCUUUAGCGUUUGGGACCCCAAACCAUUCUGCACACCCCCACCCUAAGACACACACACAUCCCACUGAUUCUCAGGCAAACAUCGCUAUCUUUGGUCCUCCACCUUUACCUUCUCAGCCUAGCUACCCAUUUCGACAAAGCUCUCCAAAUUUUGCCCAUACUGCCUCUUUUCCACCACCACAAACUACCCAUACCCCUAUCGCUAACAAUACACAGCAGCAGCAAUAUGCUCAACACAAUUUUGACUACCCAUGCCAACAAUAUGCUCAGCAGCCACCUGGUUAUCCUCUCCCAAAUGGUCACCAAGCCCCUAACCCUAAUUUUAGCUAACAAUAUUUUCAGUAUGAUCCAGCUCUGCCCUCUAUGGGCCAGAUGAAGUUAGAGUUGGCUUCUUUUGGAGGAGGAGACCCCAUAGAAUGGCUUCAUAAGUUAGAGCAGUUUUUCGAGUUUUAUCAAGUGCCCGAGGAGCGCAGGCUGGCCAUAGCUGCUAUGCAUUUGGUGGACAAAGUAGCAGACCGGUGGUUUAUGUUCCAGCAUGAGUUUCCAUAGUCGUGGAGGGGGUUGUCGGAGUUGUUGAUGAGAGAGUUUAGUGUGCAUAACUAUGGAGAAUAUCAGGCUGCACUGGCUCGGAUUUCUCAAACUGGUUCAGUUGAUGUUUAUAUGGACCAAUUCACUAGGUUGUCUAGGCGCGCACCCGAGUUCUCUUCACAAGCCCUGCUCUCAUUCUUCUUAGAGGGAUUGAAGGAACCCAUCCAAACGCAUGUGAGGGCUCACAAGCCAACAACCCUGUAUACAGCUUGUGAAUUGGCCAAGCUAUUUGAGAGCAAUGUCAAAAACACACAUCGACCAAAUGCCCCAUUUGCUGGCCGUGCGCAGGAGGCACCACCAAGGCCACCUCCACAAGCACCCCAACGUGCACCAGUAGCACCAAAUCCUUCAGGAGUUAGGAAUUUCGGCGGGAAUAGGAGGCUGUCCAAUGCUGAGUACCAAGAGAGACGCGCAAGAAAUCAGUGCUUCUUUUGUGACGAGUUGUUUCAGCCAGGGCAUAACUGUCGAAUGGGCCAAGCGGUGUUGGUAAUGGAAGUGCUACAAGAGGAGGGUGCGCAACAGGAAGGACAAGUAGUUGAGGAAGCACCUGUGAAUGAUGUUGAAGUAAACAUUGUGGCAGUAGAAGAAGAAGUAGAGCUGAGAGCCAUGGGGGAUGGUACAUCUUCUACAAUGCAGCUGAAGGGCAAAAUCUUGAACAAAGAGGUUCAUGUUCUUAUUGAAUCCGGAGCCACUCACAACUUUGUGCAUCCAGCUGCCUUACAAACAACAAAGCAUCAGGUUGUGGGGAUCAAACCAGUGAGAGUGCGAAUGGCAAGUGGAGAAAUUCAGUACACCAAAGGGCAAGUAUCUCUUGAACUCACAAUGCAAGAGCUGACUAUCACUGCUGAUUUCUAUGUGUUGCCGGUCUCAGGUUGUGAGGUUGUGUUAGGGGAUAGCUGGUUACAGACUUUAGGUGAGAUUGUUUGGAACUUUGAGACUAAGAAAAUGAAGUUCCAAGUGGAAGAGAGAACUGUUUGCUUGCAGGGGAUAGUAUCACCCAAAGCUUCAUUGGUGAGUUGCAAAAGCAUGACUAGGCUGUUGAGAAAAGAGAGAGAGGCAGUACUGGUCAAGCUGCAACCCUCUACCACACGUGACCAGCAGCGACGUAUCCACCCUGCCAUUCAAAGCCUAUUGUUGGAUUUCAAAGAUGUCUUUGCAGACCCUCAGUCUUUACCUCCCUCUCGAUCACAUGAUCAUCAAAUUGAGCUUCUCCCUAAUACAGCUCCCAUUAGUGUGAGGCCAUAUCGAUACCCUCAUUUCCAAAAGGCUGAGAUAGAAAAGAUAGUACAAGAGAUGUUGGCUAGUGGCAUCAUCAGACCAAGCAUUAGUUCCUACUCUUCUCAUGUGCUGCUAGUUGAGAAAAAAGAUGGUACAUGGCGCCUUUGUAUAGACUAUAGAGCCCUCAAUGCCUUAACCAUCAAAGACAAGUACCCCAUUCCUGUAGUUGAUGAGUUGAUAGACGAAGUUCAUGGCUCUACCAUCUUCACCAAGCUGGACUUGCGCGCUGGCUAUCAUCAAAUUCGAAUGGCAGAGAGGGACAUUCAGAAAACAGCAUUCCGAACUCACACAGGACAUUAUGAGUUCCUUGUUAUGCCUUUCGGCCUCACAAAUGCACCUUCAACCUUCCAGGCGCUCAUGAAUGAUGUGUUACGCUGCUAUUUGAGGAAGUUUGUUUUGGUGUUUUUCGAUGACAUCCUCAUCUACAGUCCUAAUUUGGAAAUGUACCUCCAACAUUUGGAAUUGGUGCUCAGUACACUUCGAAAACAGUCCCUAUUCGUUAAGGAGAGCAAGUGCAAUUUUGGUGCUCCACAGGUUGAGUAUUUGGGACACAUCAUCAGUAAGGAUGGUGUUAGUGUGGAUCCUGCCAAAAUUGAGUGUGUCAAGCAGUGGCCAGUGCCUAAAACAGUGAAGGAGUUGCGAGGUUUCCUAGGCUUGGCAGGUUACUAUCGCAAGUAUGUGAAGAGGUUUGGUAUAAUUGCCAAACCACUGACCAUGUUACUUAAAAAAGAGGGGUUCAAGUGGAGUGAAGAGGCCACUGCUGCUUUUGAGGAGUUGAAGAUAGCACUUACUACUACCCCGGUGUUGGCAUUCCCUGAUUUCUCCAAACCUUUCACAGUUGAGUGUGAUGCUUCUGAUUUAGGUGUGGGAGCAGUACUUUCACAGGAGAGACACCCGCUUGCCUUCAUGAGCAAGGCAUUGUCUCAAAGACACCUUGCUCUCUCGGUCUACGACAAAGAGAUGCUAGCAGUUGUCACAGCAGUCCAACAAUGGCGUCCGUAUCUCUUGGGACACCAUUUCACCAUCUUAACUGAUCAUAAGACAAUUGAGCACUUUCUUAAUCAACGAGUAAUAACUCCAGCGCAGCAGAAGUGGCUAUUGAAGUUGCUCGGGUAUGAUUACACAAUUAAGUACAGGAAGGGUAAGAACAACGCUGCACCCGACGCUUUGUCUAGGUCAGUGUCUCUACAAGCCAUUACAGGAGCUUCAAUUCCAAUUCAUAACUGUGUGCAAGAGAUACACCAGGUUUGCACCUCUGAUGCUAAGACCAUGGAGAUAAUCCAACAGCUUCAAGCCAAUCCUCAGUCCCAUAAGCAUUUUUCUCUACAAAAUGCACAGCUCAUGUACAAAGGAAGAGUGUAUGUGCCUAACAUUGGCAAUUGGAGGCAGCGUGUGAUUCAAGAGUAUCAUUGUGGCUACACUGGAGGCCAUGCUGGACGCUCCAGAACUUACAAGAGAAUUGGUAAGAAUUUUUCAUGGUCUGGACUUCAAAGAGAUGUGAAAGAGUUCAUUGCCAACUGCCAUACAUGCCAACUCAAUCACUAUGAGACAAUUCGGCCACCUGGACUGCAACAACCUUUGGCCAUACCUCCAGCAGCUUGGAGAACAAUUACCAUGGAUUUCAUAGAAGGACUUCCUAAGUCUCAGGGGAAGACAGUCAUUUGGGUUGUGGUAGAUAAGUUCACAAAGGUAGCUCACUUUGUUCCCCUAUCACAUCCCUACACUGCUGCCUCUCUUGCUUCUGUGUUUGUUUCGGAGAUUUUCCGGCUUCAUGGAAUGCCUGAGGUGAUAGUUUCUGACAGGGAUCCUGUAUUCAUGAGUUUUUUUUGGGAGGAAUUCUUCAAAUUGCAAGGUACCAUUCUCAGUAAAUCCACAGCAUACCAUCCUCAGACUGAUGGUCAGACCAAGAACUUGAAUCGAACCCUUGAGUAGUAUCUGCGUUGUGUUACUGGUAGCAAGCCGCAGGAGUGGGUUAAAGCUUUGCCGUGGGCUGAGUGGUGGUAUAACUCAGCUCACCACUCCGCCUUACAGAUGACACCUUUUGAGGCACUUUAUGGUUACCCUCCCCCAGUGAUUCAGCCUUAUCUGCCAGGAUCUACGGCGGUGGCGGACGUGGAUUUUCAGCUGUGCAGCCGUGAUGAAUUACUGGCACUGGUUAAGAGAAAUUUGGAGCAGGCACAACUUCGAAUGAAGAGGCAACAUGACAAGCACCACACUGAGAGAACUUUUGCUGUUGGGGAUUGGGUCUACCUUAAGUUACAGCAGUACAAACAAAACUCUGUGGGAAAGUCUGCAUUCCAUAAGUUGGCUUCGAAGUUUUAUGGACCAUUUCAGGUCAUUGAAUGUGUGGGAGAGGUAGCUUACAGGCUGCAGCUACCAGCCACAGCAAGAAUACAUGAUGUAUUCCAUGUGUCACUUUUGAAAAAGAAGUUGGGCGGUACCGCAGUGGUGGAGGGACAAUUGCCUAAUGUAAGUGAUGCUUCAGUUCACAAAUGGGCACCAGAGGCCGUGUUGCAAGCUCGAAUGGUCAAGAGGCAUGGCGCUGCUGCAACUCAGUGGCUGGUCCAGUGGAUGGGGACUAGUCCAGAGGAGGCCACUUGGGAGUUGGCAGAUGAGAUUAUGCAGAGGUUUCCUGAUUUUAAACCGGACUUUUGAUUUUGUUGGAACUUGAGGGCAAGUUCCUUGACAAGGGGGUUGGAAUGAUAUGAAUCUCGAGUAAGCAGUCGCUCUCCUAGUGGGCCUAGGGGUGUGUUGGGCUGUGUCAAUUAGCUGUCUUAAUUAAUAGGUUAAUUAGUUGAUUAGGGUUUUGUAGUGAACCGUGGGAUACGUGACAAGUGUCGAGAUCAUAUCACUCUUCAUGUACCUAUUUAAGCUGGCUAGGGUUUCUUGGCAGCUCCAUUGAAUGAAAUCUGCAUUUUCUUUACAUCUUUUAGCUUAGUUUCCUUAGCUGGCCGAGUUGAUCCAUUUGUAAGGGGUGACACCCUUAUCACGAUUCUAACCAAAUACCCAACCCGAAUUCACAGAAAAAAGUAGAAUUUUACCUUAUCAGAGUCGAAGGGUCGAAUCCAAAACCCANNNNNNNNNNNNNNNNNNNNAAAAAGACCCAAUCUUUAAGAGAGAACUCAGAGAAGCAGUGAUAUCUGUGAUGGGUUUCUGAAAACUUAGAGAAGCAAAAAGAGUGAAUGACCCAAUCUCUUCUUCUUGUUCUUUAGUUUUUUUAUUUUAUGAUUUAUUUUUUUUGCUUCCUGUUCCAAAAAAAAAAAAACUUUUGCUUAAUGGGUUUUGACGGGCUCCAACGGGCUCAGCCCGCACGACUAGUUAAUUGGCGGGUUUCUGACAGGUGGGUUUUUAAUGGGCGGGUUUCGGAUGGGCUCACAGCCCGCGGGCCAAAUUGCCAGGCCUACCACCACCCUGGGUUCCCGGGUCACCUCUGCUACCCGACCCAAACCUGCCGCCGCACCAUCAGCAUCCCAAAACAAAACAAAAACCCCAUCUCUCACGCCCUUUUCAGGUCCCCGGUGGAGUUGAGCUACUGCGUGGAGACGUUGCUUCCCUACCACACUGCCACAGCCUGUGCAUUGCUCACUUCCAUACUCUAGCUCCGUCUCGCGACGCUCCUACGCUUGGACCCCUGAAGAUUUCUGAUUGUUAUCGAUCUGUUGUUAUCAAACGAGGAAUAAGUGUGUUCAAUCUUGUAUUGAUUUAUAAUUUUCCAGACGAUGGGAUUGAUUAAGGUUUAACUUAUGGAUGCAUAUUAUGGAUGAGCUCUUCCCGCCUCUUCCUGAUCUGUUUGUGUAUACGUAGAUCAUAAUAAGCAAAUUGUACAUUGCAUUCUGAUGUUAGAUAUGGUCUAAAUUGUCUGGAUCUAAAAAACAAAGAGCUUUGGUGAGAUGAUACGAGUUAGAUCGACUAGAUCAACAGGAUGUUGACAAAUUUUUGGUAAACAUUUCCUUACCAUUUCCAUAUAUUUAGGUUAAUCUCAAGAGCUUAAUUUGGUGAAAUGAUAUCUUGUUGUGCUAUGAAGAUAAGGUGUGGAUGGAGGAAGACUCGAUCAUAUAACUUCUUUCUAUCUUCCAAGCUGAGCUCAACACGAGAUGUCUUUUUCUAUCAAAGAAAACAAGUAUAUUAUACAUGAGCCGUCUGUGACAUCCAUCCACUGCCAUCACCCUUAUUCAGUUAGCUUGUGACGAUUGUUCUCAACAGUCUAAUAAUUAAAACGAAAAGAGGGGAUUGGCUUGCUUUGAUUUUUUGAGUUGUAUGUCGACGUCUGAAGCGCUCAUCUUUAUGACUAGCAUUUUUGUUUCAAAUUUUCAACUACAUACAAAGUUUCAACAAAUCUCCAAGUACUGCAGCUUUCUGCAAAUUCAUUUUCCCAGAAAGGAGACUAUACAAUACAAAGAAAAAUUUAUAUGGCUAGCCGAUCAUUGAGCUAGCUAGCUUAUUAUUAGCUUGAUUAAUAUUUGUAUAUACAAAUACAUUCAAACAACGUCUAUAUAUGUUGCAUAUAGUAUUUAGAAGAUUGAUAACUAAUUAACAGAAGAAUAUAUUAGAUUAACAUCAACGUACGAGCUUAGCUUUAUUUAUGAUCCUGAGCUAAUGUGUUGAUAAAAGCAAGAGAGAUGAUGUUCAAUUGGCAGAAGUGAUCAUUCUCCCUUUUCAAUGGAUAAACUUCACCUUUCUUCUCCAAGAACCCAUCUUCACAAGUGCUAGAUGCAUCCAUGGCAGAACUGAUUUCUAUGUUAGCUUUACCAUAAUCCUUGGCCUUCAAGGCACCCACAGCGUCCUGUAGGGUAAGAUCGGCAUCCGAAUACAGCUCUAAACAGUCUUCCAAGCACUCCUUUGCAUACUUGUCGAAUUGUUUCUCGACCAAAAGCUUCGAAAUGGUGGAAGUGAUGCUGGUCGCGUUGGAUAUGGUGAGGUUAAGUGUAAUGGCUACAAGUUGCUCAAGGUCUGCUCCAUGGCUUUGGGGGAUGGCCUCAAGGCUUGAAACACAGAACUUGUAGCGCAAAUUGGGAUCACUAGCUGCAGCUUUCUUGCAGGAGAGUCGGAUGAGAUCGUUGGAACCCAUUGUGUUGCGAAAGAGCACGAGAAAAGUGAUAAAGAAGAAGUACCUCAUUCUUUCCACAAACAUAAUCGAAUGGCCUUUUGAAAAAUAGAGAGAUUUAAGUAUUAUAUAUACGCAUUUGCACACACAAGAGGGCAUUUUCUUUUGUAAAGUAGGGACAGAAAUGGAUUUUUUGCCAUAUCUUCUCUUUAUUUCUCAACCGAUCGAUUCCCCUCUUGUUUUAUUUUUCAUAUUGCGUGAAGAAAUGAAUCGAUGUGCAUUAAAAAGAUCAUAUCUUAUAAAAAAUAAAAUAAAAGCUUGAGAAAUAGCAUAUCACUAAGCUAAUAUAUAGUUGCAUGGGCUGCAAUUUUUCUUAUGUUGAAUGAAGUUAAUAUAUGUAUAUAAUGCCUGUGUUAGGUUAAUUAAGAUAAACACAUGGCUUAACCAAGGUGAGUCUAUGUGCCAUAUAGUUCAUUCCACAAUCUUGUUUGAUCGAAUCGAACUCGAGCUCUAUAAAAUUCAUUCGAGAAAAAUGAGGUUUAGCUAGCUAUAGCCUGAAAAAUAAGAUCCAUGCUGGUCAUAUUACUAGAGUAAAAUAUAUCAACUCCUAGUAGGCUAGUAUAAUUUAUUGGAAGCUGUUGUGGAAUCUUUGUAGUUUGGAUAUAUAUCGUGAGUUAUAGAAAGUGCAUUAUAGAUCAAUUAGGCAAAUGAGACAUCUUGCUCUUUUUUGUCUUUCUGUUUUUAUAUGAUUUUUGCCAUUUUUUUGGUUAUGGAGAUACGUGACUGUUAUACUACACGCAAAGCAUGGGGCUGGCAUGUGAGUUUAUUCAAGUGGAAAAGAAAGAGAGAAAUUAAGGAAGAAGAUCGAUGACACUACUAGAAGAAAGGCUUUAGCCGACGAAAAUAAAAAAACCAGGCCGACGAAUUUUUUUUCGUCGGCUAAAGUCCACUUUAGCCGACGAAUUUUUUUUCGUCGGCUAAUUUAAAAUUUUCGUCGGCUAUGGUCAACUUUAGCCGACGAAAGUAAUAUUUCAUCGGCUGAAUAAUUUUUCCGUCGGCUAUAGUCUGUGAACUUUAGCCGACG
RNAcentral lists this long non-coding RNA (20000 nucleotides) under Fragaria vesca (wild strawberry). Its description in RNAcentral is "long non-coding RNA (FVES_LNC002552)". The record is from RNAcentral. Lineage: Eukaryota; Viridiplantae; Streptophyta; Magnoliopsida; Rosales; Rosaceae.